RNAcentral lists this ribosomal RNA (253 nucleotides) under uncultured bacterium. RNAcentral's name for it is "partial 16S ribosomal RNA". It matches the Rfam family "Bacterial small subunit ribosomal RNA", at positions 524 to 776 of the family's 1533-position model. The record is from RNAcentral.
UACAGAGGGUGCGAGCGUUAAUCGGAAUUACUGGGCGUAAAGCGUGCGUAGACGGUUUUGUAAGUCGGGUGUGAAAUCCCCGGGCUCAACCUGGGAAUUGCAUUCGAGACUGCAAGGCUUGGGUGCGGAAGAGGGAAGCGGAAUUUCCGGUGUAGCGGUGAAAUGCGUAGAUAUCGGAAGGAACAUCAGUGGCGAAAGCGGCUUCCUGGUCCAGCACCGACGUUCAGGCACGAAAGCGUGGGGAGCAAACAGG